Long non-coding RNA from Dermochelys coriacea (leatherback sea turtle), 6631 nucleotides. RefSeq lists it as uncharacterized. The record is from RefSeq and is a predicted model, not a curated record. NCBI's taxonomy places the organism in Eukaryota, Metazoa, Chordata, Testudines, Dermochelyidae. The transcript is spliced from 2 exons.
CUGAAUCUGUAACAAAUUAACACCUCAUUACAGGAAGGAACAGCCUGGAUAUUUAAUAAUUCAUCGUCAUCAGUUCACUCAUCUGCCCUGUCAUUUAAAAAUACGCAAAAAGACCUGUAGCCCCAUUGUAUUACCCCAGUUUUACACCAGUCUGAAUCUACUGUCACGAUGGGGUAAAACUGAAGUAACAAGGUGGUGAAUUAGGCCUAAAUCACAAAGCUCUGGUUCCAUAAUUUUCUUCUGGCCUGAGUCAGGUUGGUAUAACUGGUUAUUGUUGCUAUAUAAUUUUAAAACACACUGUGGUCAUCACAGCCUCUCUAAAUAUAGGGGAUUAUUUUCCACUUGCAGAAAUGACAUAAUUAGGUGUGAAAAACGUGCUCACCAAGGAUGUCAGUAUGUGUCACUGGCUCAUUGAGGACAACAGGUCUAAGAUAUCUACAGCAAUAAUGGACCCUCAGGAAACGUACACUUCUGUUUAUGGUGUGUUCAGAGUUCUCAAAAAACUGGACAAGAUGGAGCUGAAGGGCCAAAUUCUGCUCUCAGCUGCACGAAUGUAAAUCUGGGAUAACUCUAGUGGGCCCAGGGAUGCUCCCAGUUAAUGACAAACUCCCAGGGACAUCCAGAGAGCAGCAUCAGGUCCACUUAUUGCAGCUUACACCAGUGUAAUUAAACAUAGAAUUGGACCACACAACUUUCACUGAAGUCAUUGAAGACUGCACCCAUGUAAUGGAACUGAGUUAGAUCUGAAGAAAAUGGGAGGCAAGACAGAGAAGCGAGGGGAAGGAACAGAUUCAGGUAUUGUUAGCUGCCCCUAUAGUAUGGGGUGAUGUAAUAUGGCAGUGAUUAUACAGAGAAACAGGGGUAACUGUUGAGGCAGAAGAAGAAUCAAUCAACAUAACCAUUAAUGAAAUGAAGUUUAGAUUCUAAUUACAACCUGCCCUAGAUAAGGGAUGGUGUAUGGCUGCACUGGACCAGGCACAAAUGUGAUUCAGGGACUCACACUUCAUUCCCUGUUCCUUCCGUGCGCUGGGGAGGGAGUACAUUACUUCAGCUUUUUCACAGAGGAGCUUGCUCCCACUCUAUAUCUCAGACCAGCUAUUCUGGACAGAAUGUAGAGGUGCACAGGAGACAGAACACCCAUUUGCUUACAGCAGGGAGUACUAGGUAAGCAGCUUCUUCUCUCACCACCAUGGCGAGAAUUGCAAUCUGUGCAUGAGCAAACAGGGGCAUACAUGGUUAGGGAAGAGUUGUGACAGUCUAGCCCAUAGUGAUAAUGGCCCUAUGACAAAACUCCAAGGGAUGCAAAAUGAGACAUUAGCUUCCGAGUCUAGAGAGAUGGAAACUCCAACCAAAACUAGUACUCAUCUUUAACAGGAUAUCAUGUGAAUGAAAUCAAAACUUUCGAAAAAUCCUCAGAUAUUUUUAUAGGUGGCCUCUAAAAAUUAAUCUUCAUCCAUUUAGGGCUAUACUUUCUGAUAGUCUGUUUUAGAUACAUUAAAGUACCUAGAUACUAUAUAAUAAUUAGGAAAUUAGCACAAUCAUGAAUUGUGAGCCUAGAUGGUAAAUAUGUUUCUAAUGUGCUUAAAACAAUUUUUAUUUUAGGGUUUUAGAAUUGAACAGGUUGUGCUUUUUUUUUUUUUUUAAUGUUUUAUGGCAGUACGUGAUUUUGUGGUUUUGGCACAGAUAAGAUAGUGAGCUAAGGCACAUCUGUUUCCUAGUAAUGAACUACCACUCCAUUCCUAUUCCACAUUAAUUCAACAGCAUCUAAAUGAAUUUUCAGCAGGUAGCACAUUAAUGUGAAAGAUUUGGCAACUCUUCAGAAAUAGAUCAUACUGGCCUGUUCAUUUCAUCACAAAAUUAUUACUUCAAGCCUUGGGGUGGGGUGGGAUUGGGAGGGAUGAUUGCAAGUAUGAAAUUUGAAGGUACAAAUGUUUGCUGUAGUAUCUUUGUUAGUUAUACAUUCUUUAUGGUACUCUCUUUCAGGUCUGUUAUGAAUUAUGUGAAUCAUGUUGUGCUGUCAUGGUGACUCAGAGUUCCACAGGUUAACUAGAUACGGUGGUCAGAAAUGGACACAGCAUUCAAAGCAAGGGACCCUACUGAACUGGAUAAUGGCACUGUAAUAUAGUCAAUAUGAUUUUUGUGCAACAUACUGCAUCCUAAUAUGCAGUUUGCUCUUUUUGACUUGCACAUUACACAGAGGUUUUCACUUAGCCAUCUACAGUGGCUCCCUGACCUUUUUCCUAAGUAAUUAUAGUUCAUUUAGUCCCCGCUAGUAUGAGUAUUUUAAAUGUUUCCUUCCAAUGUGCAUUACCUCCCAUUUGUCAAAAGUGAAUUUCAUUUGCCAUCCUUGCUGCCCAUUCAGCUGGUUUUGUUAGGCCACUCUGGAGUACCUCACAUUCUUCCCUAAUCUUGAUUUACUUAAAUCAUGUUGUAUCUUCUUACUGUUCACUGUCUUUUCUAGACCAUUAAUGAAUAUUUUACAGAACAUUAGCACUAUAAUAGCUCGAUGGCUCACCUUUUGCUACAUGAAAAACUGAGUAUUUAUCCCUGCUCUUUUCUGUCUCUUAGCCAACUCCUUAUUCAUAACACAGAACUUUACCUUCACCCCGACUAGUUAAUUUGCUUAAUAGCUUCUUGUAAGGGACUUUGUCAAGGUAUUAGGAAAGUCCAACUAAAUUAUAUCUACCAGUUCUCCUUCAUCUACUAGUUUGUUGACUCAAAGAAUUCCAGCAGACUGGAGCAGCAAUUUUUCCCAUUAUAAACAUCAGACGUUGAAACAAAAUUAAUGACUUACAAUGUAUGGAAGUAAAUAUAGCUGCUACUGAUUUUACUUGAUCCUCCCUGUGCCAUCUCAUUCAGUACAAUUUAGGAACAAGUUUUCCUUAAAUAUUGUUUUAAAUUGUUUUCAACUUCUAGAGAAAGUGAUGAGGUGACUUGAUCUCUGUCCAUAUAUACCACAGAGAAUGUAUCUGGUAUGAGGGAACCUUUUCAUUUAGCAGACAACUGCAUAAAUAAAUCCAAUGGCUGGAAGCUGCAAUUAAAUUCAAAUUGGAUAUAAGAUGCAAUUUUUAAUUUCAGGGAGGUUGACUAAGCAUCAGAGCAUCUGCCUAAAGGAAGUGGUGAAUUCCCCAUCAUUUGGAAUAUUUAAAUCAAGACCAGAUGUCUUCCUAAAAAGAUAUCCUCUAGUUCAGCCACAAGUUAUUGGGUUUGCUAUAUUUUACUCAUAUAGCAGGAAAGAAUAAUUCUCUCCACUGUAGGAAUUACUGUGUAAUUCUAUGGCCCGUUAUAUGGGAAUUCAGACUAGAUAAUCAUAAUUCUUCCUAUGGAUUGAUGAACUUUAAAAAACAGGAAAUUCAUCAAUUUUACAUAUAUCUAAUUUUUGCUCAGCAUACACAUGACCUGUCGCUUUUUCAAACGAAAGAAACAAUGAGAUUUCCCCCCUUGCUUUGUGGAAAAGUCAGUUGGUUCCCCUUACCCCAGGUGGAUGAUGCAGAACAGGAUAAUCAGUGUGAAAACUUAGCUUCCCAGAUGUGUAAGCCACAUUAUUAGCAUCAAUUUUGUCUUCCACUUGCCAAGUAGGGCUUUACAAUGAAAGGAGAAAAAAAAAAAGAGGAAACAUGUUAAAGCCAUCUGCCAUUUAAGCCAGUGAAGUACAAUGAAACUAUGAAAUCUCAAUACAAAAGAGCUAUUAAAAAUUUCUGAAUAUAGAAUUAUUGUUAUACUGAGAAGGGAACAAUGAGUCACCAGUGCCUCUCACAGCACUGAACCGGACAUUUCAGCAACUGUGCAACAGAAGCAAUCACUUCAAAAAUGAUGCUAGUCUGAGUAGAGUAGGCCAGACAAGUUGCCCCCAGUGCUGUUCCUCUGAGGCUAUUGCCUUUACUUUUCUCGUAAAAGCUCUGAGGACUGUAUUGUGUCAACAUUCAGCGGAAGGACAGGACAGAACCUCAGCUGGUGUAAACCAGCAUAGCACCUAUUGGAGUUGCACAGGUGUAAGGGAGGACAGAAUUUUUGGCACGUUUUGUUCAAUUUUGCCGUUUCCAUUCCCCAAGUUGGUCUGUGUUACAAAGAAAAAGUGGAAACACUGUAAGUUGCAUGUCUUUUUCAAUGAAUUUUAAGCCUUUAAAUGACAGGGAAAAUGUCAAAUACAGAGUACCCUUUACAACAUGGCCUUUCCCAUAUUACCUUCAAAGAAAAAUCUCCGAAUGAAAGACGUCAAGAUAUAAUUUCUUGCCUUUCCUUUCGUACUUUCUGAGAGCUAGUCCCAUUAUUUUACCUCUACAUUUUUAUUAAAUUUCAAGAUGGAUGAACUAAAAUCAGUAUGAGUCUUGCUGACAACAGCAACAAAUUAUAUAUUGUAAGGUGGUUGAGUACAAAGACAUGCAGACAUCACAUUGCAAUGCAGUCAAAAUAUGUUUCAAAUGACACACCAUGCAGCAAAGUCUAAGGCCAAAAACCACAUGUUCUGGUUUGCACAAAGUUCAUACAAUUGAAUACAGUUCAUGGCAAAUGUGUAAUAUAGAUCCAGACACUUGUCUGGGAAGUGCAAGUCAACAUAUGCAGUCCAUGUAAUCACUGAAGAAGACAUAAUUUAAAAAGAAAAAUAUGAAAACCCAUUUCCCCAUGUGAAUUACUGCAGACUAAAUAUACAAAACACAAGGCAUUUGAAAUAUAGAGAUAAUGCUUAUUUUUUAUAAAAUGCCCAGGUUAAACUCGAAAACACAGUUCAAAAUGAUUUAUAUAUUGUAUACAAAAACUUUUGCUUUGGGACAAGGAUUUUUAAGUAUAGGAAUGCCAAACAAUGCUAAAGGCAGAUUUAUAAAAUUGCUGGGAAGAAACCCCAGAAUAAUAUUAACAAAUGUGUUAAACUGUCAUGGGGAAAUUCAUUUAAUUAUAUGGUAUAGUAAGUAUUCAUCAUAUGCGACUUCAGUUCUACAAUAUGAAGACCUCAACCACAUUUGCACAGUUACUAAUUUUAAGAAAAAAAAAGAAAAGAAAAAAGUGUUAUGUCAUCCUUUGUCAUUAGUGUUGAGGGUAGCUUUGUCAUGGCAGGCUCCAGAGCAAUUUAAUGGCUCCAAAGCACUUUAAUCUACUAUAAUACUCUUGCUUCUGAGAAAAUAUACAUCUCUGGUGAAAUAAAAAUACAUGAUAGAAUUACUGUGACAUUUUACAAAAAGGCAUGUUCAUUCUGUUAAAUAAGGUAGUGCUAUGGGAGUUAAUCCACUGGAACAUUGGUUUCAUGUAAGGAGAUUCUAUCAAAGAUCAAGUUACUAAUUUACAGCCAAAUAUUGAUUAAAUGCAAAAAGCUACAUUAAUGCAAUGUCCAGCUUGAAAAUGUAAUGCAGAGAAGUUAGGAAAUUCAAAUCUUAACAUUGCUAAAAGAGGUAAAACUCAGUAACAGGGAGAGUUGCUGUCAGAUGAGAGUGCUGGUGCAAGAGGUAGAGGAGGAAAAGGUGGGUAAUCCCAGAGGACUCUGAUCUCUCAACAGAGAACAAAAUGGGCUGGGCAUGGUCUAUGGAUCAGUAACAAAGGUCAGAUUACAACUUCAGUUGCACAGCCUGCAUGGCAGAAAAUCAAGCACUGUGCAGGUACAACAAUCGUGUGUGUUACCUAGCAAUACAUACAGCCCACCUGAGCUGAGAAGCUAGCCUGUUAGCUGUGACUGGGAAUCAUUGACACUGAAAUCUGACACCACACUGAAACUCAGGCCAUAAUUAUUAAAAGGUUCUGGAACCCAAGCCCAGUUUAGCAAAAAUAUACCAUAUUUUUGUAUCAGAAAUGGGAAAACUCGGCAUGAAGGGGUUCUCUGGCCAUUGAAAAACAUAAUCAAAUAUAUCUUUAAAAAUAUUUGACUUAGAGGAAAAUAACAGUGAGAGUUUCUGGCUUUAUAAGAGGUAUAGAGAGACUAUGGGCUUGUCUAAAUGAUGGCAAACCACAAAAAGGAGCAUAAUUUGUGAAGUGCUCUAAUGUGUUGUGCUCUAAUUCCCCAUGUUGGCACCCUCUGAAAAAUACCUACAUCUCAUUGGUGUGGUCCCGUUUCAGCUACACCAGGAAUCUCUUAUGUAACUAUUUGUCCAAGCUUUCUCAACUGACUGAAGCAGGAAACCCCCAUUCUUAGCCAAUCGUCUUCUGCCUUACAGCUGCAGUAUCUGGGAAGUGCAAUUUGUCUGAUCCACUCAUCCAGAACAUCAGUGACUGAAUGGAAACCCUGUAUAGUAUAGCGACAUACACAGAACUUGGAGGGAGCAGCACAGGUUGAAGAAAAAAAGAACAGUUUGGAAGAUGCACCAGAAAGCCAGUCUGUGUGCCUGUGGCUGGCAUGCAGACAUAAAACAUACAGUAACCCUAAAUAUUUUGGUAGGGACACCUUUAAAAAUGAAUGAUGAUAAAUAAAAGUAAAUGUACAUGAUUUCUGUGCUCCAAAAGGACAUCUGUGCAAGAUUAAAGACUUGUGCUUCUUUUUUCAUUUGUGGGAGCUGCAUUUACUGUUGUUCUGUUAUUGGGAGAAUCUGCAAACUGGUUGGCAUAUUAAUUUAGCAAGGUUGCCAAUCUGAAAUGUAUAGUUUUGUUUACAGUGUUUAUUAGACCUUUGGAUUUGAGUGCUAUUAAAAUAACAAGAAAUUAUUAUGAA